RNAcentral lists this ribosomal RNA (775 nucleotides) under uncultured Neocallimastigales. RNAcentral's name for it is "partial large subunit ribosomal RNA". It matches the Rfam family "Eukaryotic large subunit ribosomal RNA", at positions 19 to 649 of the family's 3401-position model. Lineage: Eukaryota; Fungi; Neocallimastigomycota; Neocallimastigomycetes; Neocallimastigales. The record is from RNAcentral.
CGAGCACGCGCGUGUGGCAUAUCAAUAAGCGGAGGAAAAGAAACUAACAAGGAUUCCCUUAGUAACGGCGAGUGAAGCGGGAAGAGCUCAAAUUUGAAAUCUUCAAGGUUCUACCUUGACGAAUUGUAGUUUAUAGAAGUGUUUUCUGUUAGUAGAGUGGCAAAAGUUCUUUGGAAUAGGACAUCAUAGAGGGUGAGAAUCCCGUAUUUGGUCAUUCUUUCUAGCUUUGUGAUACACUUUCAACGAGUCGGAUUGUUUGGGAAUGCAGUCCAAAAUGGGUGGUAAAUUUCAUCUAAAGCUAAAUAUUGGCGAGAGACCGAUAGCGAACAAGUACCGUGAGGGAAAGAUGAAAAGAACUUUGAAAAGAGAGUUAAACAGUACGUGAAAUUGUCAAAAGGGAAGCGUUUGACACCAGUGUUGUUUUUCCGAAAAUCAAUUACGAAUGUUUUAUUCUUGAGAAGUUAUGGACUUCAUCGGCUUGCUUCUCUCUUUAUGAAACUUUCUUAAUGCACUUUUCGGUUAACAAGUCAACAUCAAUUUCUUUUGUUGUAAAAGGGUAUGAGGAAGGUGGCUUUCUUUUCGGAGAAAGUGUUUAUAGCCUUGUACCUCUGCAAUCGGAGAGAUUGAGGUCUGCAGCGUAGAUCCUUCGGGGUUAGAUACAUUUGUGCUAAGUUAUAGCUUUUCAUAGACAACUUGUUGACUAUGUUUAGUCUUGUAGCUUACUCGCUUAUGCUAUUUUACCUACGCUUAGGAUGUUGAUUAGCGACAUACGCAC